Molecule: ribosomal RNA, 330 nt
Filed under: uncultured bacterium
Lineage: Bacteria
Description: bacterial SSU rRNA
Rfam family: Bacterial small subunit ribosomal RNA
Source: RNAcentral
UGUGUAGGCGGGCAGAUAAGUCAGACGUGAAAAUCUAAAGCUUAACUUUGGACCUGCGUUUGAAACUAUCGGUCUUGAGUACGGGAGAGGAAAGUGGAAUUCCUGGUGUAGCGGUGAAAUGCGUAGAUAUCAGGAGGAACACCGGUGGCGAAGGCGGCUUUCUAGCCCGAUACUGACGCUGAGACACGAAGGCUAGGGGAGCAAACAGGAUUAGAUACCCUGGUAGUCCUAGCGGUAAACGUUGGGCACUAGGUGUUGUCCCUUAACCGGGGCAGUGCCGCAGCUAACGCAUUAAGUGCCCCGCCUGGGGAGUACGACCGCAAGGUUGAA